RNAcentral lists this ribosomal RNA (530 nucleotides) under Beauveria sp. Its description in RNAcentral is "eukaryotic LSU rRNA". The stretch from base 153 to 306 matches the Rfam family "5.8S ribosomal RNA". Lineage: Eukaryota; Fungi; Ascomycota; Sordariomycetes; Hypocreales; Cordycipitaceae. The record is from RNAcentral.
UNNACUCCCUACCCUUAUGUGACCUACCUAUUGUUGCUUCGGCGGACUCGCCCCAGCCGGACGCGGACUGGACCAGAGGCCGCCGGGGACCCUCAAACUCUUGUAUUAUCAGCAUCUUCUGAAUCCGCCGCAAGGCAAAACAAAUAAAUCAAAACUUUCAACAACGGAUCUCUUGGCUCUGGCAUCGAUGAAGAACGCAGCGAAACGCGAUAAGUAAUGUGAAUUGCAGAAUCCAGUGAAUCAUCGAAUCUUUGAACGCACAUUGCGCCCGCCAGCAUUCUGGCGGGCAUGCCUGUUCGAGCGUCAUUUCAACCCUCGACCUCCCUUUGGGGAAGUCGGCGUUGGGGACCGGCAGCACACCGCCGGCCCUGAAAUGGAGUGGCGGCCCGUCCGCGGCGACCUCUGCGUAGUAAUCCAACUCGCACCGGAACCCCGACGUGGCCACGCCGUAAAACACCCAACUUCUGAACGUUGACCUCGAAUCAGGUAGGACUACCCGCUGAACUUAAGCAUAUCAAUAAGCGGAGGAA